This is a long non-coding RNA of Gossypium arboreum, 1806 nucleotides long. RefSeq lists it as uncharacterized. Lineage: Eukaryota; Viridiplantae; Streptophyta; Magnoliopsida; Malvales; Malvaceae. The transcript has 4 exons. The record is from RefSeq and is a predicted model, not a curated record.
CAAUUCUAAAGCUUAAACGAGCCCAAACCUUAAAAAAUACUCAUUUCAAAACAAAACCCUAAAGAAACUACCUCGUAACCAGUUUCCAUUUCUGACGAUCCCUCUUCUUCUUCAACAAUUUGUCUCUUCAAGCUCUGAAAGAUAACUGUCAACCACGUCAAAACUUUCAAUUGAUCCAAGGCAUCUCUGAAAUGAGCGAUUUUACUCGCUAUUUUAGUUACUCUUUUACUAAAGAAACUUUGGAUCUCAAAUGCCUUUCCAUUUUCCUAUCAUUUUCUUCUCUUAAAAAAUAGAAAUACUCUUUCUUCAACCCCUCAAAUCUAUUGUUUCCUUGUAUUCAAAUUUGUAAAGUUCCUUAGAUUUUACAUCAUCCCUUCAACUUCCUCCUCUUCCACCUUGUAUGUCAACCUUGACGGCCCUAACUAUCGAACUAAAAAGACCAGAAGCCAAAUAAGUAUUCUCGCUCUCGAUCAAACCUUCUUUUGCAAGUAUAUGAGCCACUUUGUUUGUUUGUCUCCUUGCAUGCUUAAAUCUACAACUAACAAAGUUGCUUCUUAAUCUUUUAGCAUCUAAAAUAUAAACCCUGAUUUCAUAUCUAUCCUCUUCCUCACUUAGUAUUUUUUUAAUAAUAGCUAGCACGUCGCCAUCAACUUCAACUCUUAAAAAGCCUGACUCUGUUUCGAAUCUAACCGCCUAGACAAAUGCGAGUGCCUCUGCUAUAAACGUCGUCGGUAUAUGCCCGUUAUUCAUCAAAGUUGAUUUUAACAUUCUUUCCCUCCAAAGGAUUCUAGUGUUCUUUUGCCACUAUGUUGACUGGUCCACCUGAUACCCAAUCUGGACCAAACAUCAACUGCAAAUGGGCAGUCUCGAAACAUAUGAUCAGUGGUUUCAGUAUUGUUUAAGCAUCUUGGAUAGUUUACUGUAUUCCCUAGUCUGCAUUGAUAUAGAUUAGAGAAAGUAGGAUGAAAAUUAUUUAGGGUUUUCCAUACUAGGAUUUUUGUUUUUGAAGGCGAUUCAACCUUCCAUAGCUUUUAGUACAUGGUUUUGUAAUAAUUUGGUUUGCUUGUAAAUUUGUUGAUCUCUCAGUUUGUAUUAAAUUUUUGUAAUCACUCUACACUGUGUAAACCCUUGAAGCUUCUCCUUGCCAUACCACUCAAUCCAUUUUUUGUUCGAGAAGGAGAGACAUGAAUAGAAUCCUUUCAACAUUUUCGACGUGAAAGGAGAGCGUAGGAGAACGAAGGGAAUGGGAAAUGGGCCAAAAACGGAGAAAAUGGGCCAAAGUACGAAAUUAUACGGCCUAGACUUCCUCACACUAGCAGACUACACGGCUGUGUCCAUCUGGCAGAAUUGGAGCACGACUCACACGGGUAUAGUACACGCCCGUGCCAUUCUAACAGGCUCAAACACGGCCUGAAGUAAUCGCACACGGGCGUGUCCCUGCCGAGCCCAAGUUAAGUCCAAUUCGGAAAAAAGGCCACUUGUGAGGGCCUCUAGGCAUUCCAAAGCCUAUAAAUACACCCUAGAAGAGGAGAAAAAGGGAGACGGACAAGAGGGGGUAAGGAAUUACUCCAAGGAAGCCGAUUGAUCCAUCUCAGAAGCCGGAUUCAUCAUCAAGACUGAAGAUCUCUCCUCAAUUUCCCUUCAGGAGUUUUGGGUUUUCUUUAUAUUUUGUAUUCUUUAUUCUUCUGAGAUGUUUUCUUAUUUAGUUAUAAACUAAAACCCCUAAAUACCUAAGGGGAAUGAAACCUAAGACGAAUCUUGUUAUUAUUUUCUGAAUCGUAUGAUAAAUAUUUAACUUGUUCUUAA